Chenopodium quinoa (quinoa) is the source of this 1071-nucleotide long non-coding RNA. RefSeq lists it as uncharacterized. NCBI's taxonomy places the organism in Eukaryota, Viridiplantae, Streptophyta, Magnoliopsida, Caryophyllales, Amaranthaceae. The record is from RefSeq and is a predicted model, not a curated record. The transcript is spliced from 4 exons.
AAAAAAAAAAAAGAAGGUAAAAGCACAAAAUAAAUAAAAAGAAAAAUGACAACACAAUGUCAGGCGGAGUCGAACCCGCGACCUUCAAGUAAAACUAAUGGACUUCAACCGCUGGGCCGCGUUAGAAGUUCAACACAUUUCAUUACAUUAUACUAGGUAUUUUAUUUAUCUAAACUUUAUAGCAAAGAAAACUAAUCAGAAUUUUCCGGAUCAAGUAUGGGUUCAGUGGGUUCACCACUGAGUAUAUAUUUUAAGUACAAUUGGAGAGUUAAAAAAAAAAGUUGAGAUGCAUUAUUAUGAUGUUGGAUUUGUUGUAGGAGGGAGUACAUGUUCAACAAAGUAGCAUAAAGAUCUAUACAUAACUUUCAUGAGAUACAGUUAAAUUUCAGAAAUGGAAAAAUCUUUAUGGCAUUUUAAUAACUUGCAGAAAAUAUUUAAUACAAAAAAAGUGCAAUAUUGUGGUAUCAGGUACAUACUCUUCAACUGUCAACUGUCAUAGUGUCAAGACUCAAGAAGCUAUUGAGAAGCUAAACCAUGUUUGAAGGUGGUUUAUGCUUGUGAUUGUCCUUCAAUGAAAUUCAACUGUCUUUAAUCAUCUGGCUGCUGGAAAUCAAUAUAUAGUGAAGUUCCUGUGAACAAGAACGUGAAGUGAAGGCCAAACUUUUGCAAAUGAUGGAAGCACGGUUUUCUACUGAAAUCAGAUAGUACAAAGCAUUCUCAAGAUCUACACUUUGAUUAUAGCUAUCAUCAGACAUAAACUCUAUAAGUUCAAUGCCAACAUCCAAGGACACUGGGGUUCAUCAAUGAAGAUCUGACAUCUGAUGAGCUGUUUUGCUGCUGAUGAUGAUGAUGGCUUGCGUGACAUCAUUAAACGACCUUGAAAUCAUGAUUUUUGGAUUCUGACUAUAGCUUGGUUUGGGGAAACAUGAAUGGAGGUUUAUUAUUGCCUUGAAUUGUUGUGUAUUGAUUUCUUCAUCUGCAUAAUACCUACUCAUUUUGUUAAUUUUCACUUUUGAUUUGGGGACAAGUCAUCUAGAUGCGCCUAUAACUUUUAUUCACCGAAAAUUUAAU